RNAcentral lists this ribosomal RNA (1347 nucleotides) under Lactiplantibacillus plantarum. Its description in RNAcentral is "bacterial SSU rRNA". It matches the Rfam family "Bacterial small subunit ribosomal RNA", at positions 75 to 1410 of the family's 1533-position model. Lineage: Bacteria; Bacillati; Bacillota; Bacilli; Lactobacillales; Lactobacillaceae. The record is from RNAcentral.
AUGAUUUACAUUUGAGUGAGUGGCGAACUGGUGAGUAACACGUGGGAAACCUGCCCAGAAGCGGGGGAUAACACCUGGAAACAGAUGCUAAUACCGCAUAACAACUUGGACCGCAUGGUCCGAGUUUGAAAGAUGGCUUCGGCUAUCACUUUUGGAUGGUCCCGCGGCGUAUUAGCUAGAUGGUGGGGUAACGGCUCACCAUGGCAAUGAUACGUAGCCGACCUGAGAGGGUAAUCGGCCACAUUGGGACUGAGACACGGCCCAAACUCCUACGGGAGGCAGCAGUAGGGAAUCUUCCACAAUGGACGAAAGUCUGAUGGAGCAACGCCGCGUGAGUGAAGAAGGGUUUCGGCUCGUAAAACUCUGUUGUUAAAGAAGAACAUAUCUGAGAGUAACUGUUCAGGUAUUGACGGUAUUUAACCAGAAAGCCACGGCUAACUACGUGCCAGCAGCCGCGGUAAUACGUAGGUGGCAAGCGUUGUCCGGAUUUAUUGGGCGUAAAGCGAGCGCAGGCGGUUUUUUAAGUCUGAUGUGAAAGCCUUCGGCUCAACCGAAGAAGUGCAUCGGAAACUGGGAAACUUGAGUGCAGAAGAGGACAGUGGAACUCCAUGUGUAGCGGUGAAAUGCGUAGAUAUAUGGAAGAACACCAGUGGCGAAGGCGGCUGUCUGGUCUGUAACUGACGCUGAGGCUCGAAAGUAUGGGUAGCAAACAGGAUUAGAUACCCUGGUAGUCCAUACCGUAAACGAUGAAUGCUAAGUGUUGGAGGGUUUCCGCCCUUCAGUGCUGCAGCUAACGCAUUAAGCAUUCCGCCUGGGGAGUACGGCCGCAAGGCUGAAACUCAAAGGAAUUGACGGGGGCCCGCACAAGCGGUGGAGCAUGUGGUUUAAUUCGAAGCUACGCGAAGAACCUUACCAGGUCUUGACAUACUAUGCAAAUCUAAGAGAUUAGACGUUCCCUUCGGGGACAUGGAUACAGGUGGUGCAUGGUUGUCGUCAGCUCGUGUCGUGAGAUGUUGGGUUAAGUCCCGCAACGAGCGCAACCCUUAUUAUCAGUUGCCAGCAUUAAGUUGGGCACUCUGGUGAGACUGCCGGUGACAAACCGGAGGAAGGUGGGGAUGACGUCAAAUCAUCAUGCCCCUUAUGACCUGGGCUACACACGUGCUACAAUGGAUGGUACAACGAGUUGCGAACUCGCGAGAGUAAGCUAAUCUCUUAAAGCCAUUCUCAGUUCGGAUUGUAGGCUGCAACUCGCCUACAUGAAGUCGGAAUCGCUAGUAAUCGCGGAUCAGCAUGCCGCGGUGAAUACGUUCCCGGGCCUUGUACACACCGCCCGUCACACCAUGAGAG